CCUUUGGGUUGUAAAGCUCUUUCGGUUGGGAAGAAGGGAGUGCGAGCUAAUACCUCAUAUUUUUGACGGUACCAGCAUAAGAAGCACCGGCUAAUUCCGUAC
Molecule: ribosomal RNA, 102 nt
Filed under: uncultured bacterium
Lineage: Bacteria
Description: partial 16S ribosomal RNA
Source: RNAcentral